Long non-coding RNA from Spinacia oleracea (spinach), 2003 nucleotides. RefSeq lists it as uncharacterized. Lineage: Eukaryota; Viridiplantae; Streptophyta; Magnoliopsida; Caryophyllales; Amaranthaceae. The record is from RefSeq and is a predicted model, not a curated record. The transcript has 6 exons.
CGUCGAGAUAUUAGUAACAUAUCACAUGUUCACGUGAUCCUGGAAAAUUGGAAGCGCAUUCUCCGUUAAUUCAACAUUUGUGGGGAAAAGAAAAAUCGCCCACUAAACCCUAACAUUUGACCAGUUCUCGACUUCUCUAUUACUCACCGUUUUUGUCUUCAUCUUCAAUAACUCACCGUCUUCAUCUCCUUCAGUCAUCUCUACUGCGAAAUGCCCCAUUUCUUAAUGAAUUAUGCAAUGUUUGAACACACAAUUGAGAAGCUGACACAUGGUGUCUUAAUUCCUAGAAUAUGUUACACAAACGGAGGCAGACCUCAUGUAGCAACUAUAAAUACAUAUUCCUUUUUUCUCUUUUGGUGCUGCUGGAAAAUUGGGUUCAUGACACAUUAUUUUUGAGCUAAAGAAGAGCAUGGUUGUACCUACACUUAUUAGGGCCAAAUCUAAACUAUCUUUUUUAGAGGAACUGUAAGACUUAUGUUGGAUGUGCUUAUUGACAUAGUUUGCUUUUAAAAAAAAAGAGACAAGGUUGUUACUGAUAACAGACCGAUACAGUAAUUCAUGAGGAUGACUCACUACGUGACUACGUACUGACUGAAGAAGUUUUAGAUGAUGCUGAAGAAGCGAAUGUCAAAAAGAAGACCAAAAAAUUACUUGGUGAAUUAAACUGUCAAUGCUGGAAGGAGACAAUAUUACUCUGAUGCUGAAUACGAAGAUGAACAUGGAGAAGGUAUGAGCCUAGUAGAACUUUGGCAAGCUUCUUAUAAGAAGGAUGGAACCUUUAUUGACGGCACAAUAACUGAAGAGAUGAGAAUGCAAAGAUGAUAGUCAAUGACAACACUGUUUUAUAGGUUUUAGAAUCCGUUCGCAGUGGCUAACCCUCCGGUAUUAUUUAAACCCUUUCACUUAGAAUUUAAACCCUUUCGUAUGGCUAACCCUUUCGCAGUGACAACACUGUUUUGUGCAAAGACACUGCACAAAUAGCCUUGCGUAUGGCUAACCCUCCGGUAUUAUUUAAACCCUUUCACUUGGAAUUUUCUACUGCUUUCUAUGUCUGAUUAUGUGAAGUUUGUGAUCGAUGGACUAACUAUAAUAGUUAAGAUCUAACGAACUUUACAAAACUGAACUGAUCUGAACUUCUGCCUGCCCUUUGCUAAUUCUAAAAAUUCAAAAGAAGAAACUGGCAGAGACCAGCACCAAGCCCUUUUCUGCGAUAUCAUAACAAAAGGAAAUUCUUGCUAUUUAACCUGGUAUAUAUUGCUUAUUGCUGAUUCUGAGAAAUAUUUGUUGUCUAACUUAUGAUUAGUAAUACUACUCGACCGAUUGUUAUGAUUGAUGAUUACGGGGUCGGUCAAAACUCAGCUAAAACUAAAACUCUUAAGCCCUUUGUUUUUUUAAUCGAGAGCAGGAACAUUAACUUGCUCUUUUUUUUUAACGAGUCAUCUCCAACAGGCCGUCUUUAUAAACAAAAGCAAGCAAAAAAACAAAUAAGUUAGGUACGGUUAAGAGUCACUAAUGUGUGCAGCACAAAUCAACUGAACUUCAUAGUACAUAACAAAGUAUAAAUACAACCAGUAAUGAAUUAUAUGAAGUUCAUAUAUUUGGUGCUUAUUACACUUGGUGUAAUAACCAAUCUGUUCAUUGUUCAUUCUUUAUAGUGGACAUAUAUUUCUAAUUUACUUUUACACCGCGAGAGAAACUAUUACUUACCAUUUUUAAUUUUUUUUCGAAGGUCCGUAGAAGAAAGGAAUCAAGGGAUGUAUAGCUCCUUCAACAAUAAGCCCAUAUUCUUGAAUUUAUAGGCUUUGAAUGGCCUUUCUUCUGAAGAUGACAUUUUAGAAUAAUAGGUCAAUUGAAAUUGUAAUAAUAUAUUGAAGACGUUAUGCGUUAUUUUUAAGUUUGUGCUUUGAUGAUACUAGCUAAAUAGUUUGGAUAAUAUGUAAACUUUGAUGAUACGUUUAUGACGUAUUAUUAUAUAAAAUAUUAGUAUAUAUAUCUUUAAGUUA